GAUGAACGCUGGCGGCGUGCCUAAUACAUGCAAGUCGAGCGAAUGGAUUAAGAGCCUGCUCUUAUGAAGUUAGCGGCGGACGGGUGAGUAACACGUGGGUAACCUGCCCAUAAGACUGGGAUAACUCCGGGAAACCGGGGCUAAUACCGGAUAACAUUUUGAACCGCAUGGUUCGAAAUUGAAAGGCGGCUUCGGCUGUCACUUAUGGAUGGACCCGCGUCGCAUUAGCUAGUUGGUGAGGUAACGGCUCACCAAGGCAACGAUGAGUAGCCGGCCUGAGAGGGGGAUCGGCCACACUGGGACUGAGACACGGCCCAGACUCCUACGGGAGGCAGCAGUAGGGAAUCUUCCGCAAUGGACGAAAGUCUGACGGAGCAACGCCGCGUGAGUGAUGAAGGCUUUCGGGUCGUAAAACUCUGUUGUUAGGGAAGAACAAGUGCUAGUUGAAUAAGCUGGCACCUUGACGGUACCUAACCAGAAAGCCACGGCUAACUACGUGCCAGCCGCCGCCGUAA
RNAcentral lists this ribosomal RNA (515 nucleotides) under uncultured bacterium. RNAcentral describes it as "partial 16S ribosomal RNA". It matches the Rfam family "Bacterial small subunit ribosomal RNA", at positions 28 to 523 of the family's 1533-position model. The record is from RNAcentral.